AUUGAACGCUGGCGGCAGGCCUAACACAUGCAAGUCGAACGAGUGGCGGACGGGUGAGUAAUGUCUGGGAAACUGCCCGAUGGAGGGGGAUAACUACUGGAAACGGUAGCUAAUACCGCAUACCAUCGGAUGUGCCCAGAUGGGAUUAGCUAGUAGGUGGGGUAACGGCUCACCUAGGCGACGAUCCCUAGCUGGUCUGAGAGGAUGACCCGCCACACUGGAACGGAGACACGGUCCAGACUCCUAAGGGAGGCAGCAGGGGGGAAUAUUGCAGCAUGGGCGCAAGCCUGAUGCAGCCAUGCCGCGGGUAUGAAGAAGGCCGUCGGGUUGUAAAGUACUUUCAGCGAGGAGGCGUUAACCGGAGAAGAAGCAUCGGCUAACCCCGUGCCAGCAGCCGCGGUAAUUC
Molecule: ribosomal RNA, 406 nt
Filed under: uncultured bacterium
Lineage: Bacteria
Description: partial 16S ribosomal RNA
Rfam family: Bacterial small subunit ribosomal RNA
Source: RNAcentral